GGGGACGGGAAGCUUCGCGUCUAUACCCUUUGUGACAUACCUAUAACUGUUGCUUCGGCGGGUAGGGUCUCCGCGACCCUCCCGGCCUCCCGCCUCCGGGCGGGUCGGCGCCCGCCGGAGGAUAACCAAACUCUGAUUUAACGACGUUUCUUCUGAGUGGUACAAGCAAAUAAUCAAAACUUUUAACAACGGAUCUCUUGGUUCUGGCAUCGAUGAAGAACGCAGCGAAAUGCGAUAAGUAAUGUGAAUUGCAGAAUUCAGUGAAUCAUCGAAUCUUUGAACGCACAUUGCGCCCGCCAGCAUUCUGGCGGGCAUGCCUGUUCGAGCGUCAUUUCAACCCUCAAGCUCUGCUUGGUGUUGGGGCCCUACAGCUGAUGUAGGCCCUCAAAGGUAGUGGCGGACCCUCCCGGAGCCUCCUUUGCGUAGUAACUUUACGUCUCGCACUGGGAUCCGGAGGGACUCUUGCCGUAAAACCCCCCAAUUUUCCAAAGGUUGACCUCGGAUCAGGUAGGAAUACCCGCUGAACUUAAGCAUAUCAAUAAGUCGGAGGAA
Molecule: ribosomal RNA, 552 nt
Filed under: Colletotrichum gloeosporioides
Lineage: Eukaryota; Fungi; Ascomycota; Sordariomycetes; Glomerellales; Glomerellaceae
Description: eukaryotic LSU rRNA
Rfam family: 5.8S ribosomal RNA (bases 178-331)
Source: RNAcentral